Molecule: ribosomal RNA, 263 nt
Filed under: uncultured bacterium
Lineage: Bacteria
Description: partial 16S ribosomal RNA
Rfam family: Bacterial small subunit ribosomal RNA
Source: RNAcentral
UACGUAGGGGACAAGCGUUGUCCGGAAUGACUGGGCGUAAAGGGCGCGUAGGCGGUCUAUUAAGUCUGAUGUGAAAGGUACCGGCUCAACCGGUGAAGUGCAUUGGAAACUGGUAGACUUGAGUAUUGGAGAGGCAAGUGGAAUUCCUAGUGUAGCGGUGAAAUGCGUAGAUAUUAGGAGGAACACCAGUGGCGAAGGCGGCUUGCUGGACAAAUACUGACGCUGAGGUGCGAAAGCGUGGGGAGCGAACAGGAUUAGAUACC